CAGUAGUCAUAUGCUUGUCUCAAAGAUUAAGCCAUGCAUGUCUAAGUACAAGCCUCACUAAGGUGAAACCGCGAAUGGCUCAUUAAAUCACACCUAAUCUACUGGAUAGUUAACAGUUACUUGGAUAACUGCGGUAAUUCUGGAGCUAAUACAUGCACAAAGCCUCGAACUUACGUGAGAGGCGCUUUUAUUAGAUCAAAACCAAACGUUUUCGAACGUUUUCUUGGUGACUCUGAAUAACUUUGGGCUGAUCGCAUAGCCUAGCGCUGGCGACAUAUCCUUCGAAGGUGUGCCCUAUCAACUGUCGACUGUGGCAUAGACGCCCACAGUGGUUUUGACGGGUAACGGGGAAUCAGGGUUCGAUUCCGGAGAGGGAGCCUUAAAAACGGCUACCACAUCUAAGGAAGGCAGCAGGCACGCAAAUUACCCAAUGACCGAAGGUCGAGGUAGUGACGAAAAAUAACGAUACGGGACUCUUCCGAGGCCCCGUAAUCGGAAUGAGUACACUUUAAAACCGUCCCCGAGGAUCUAUUGGAGGGCAAGUCUGGUGCCAGCAGCCGCGGUAAUUCCAGCUCCAAUAGCGUAUAUUAAAGUUGUUGUGGUUAAAAAGCUCGUAGUUGGAUCUCGGCAGUCUGAGGUUGGUGUACUUGCUAGUACUACUGCCCUAUAGACUGUAGUUUUGCCAGAGGUGCCCGGGUGCUCUUAAUCGAGUGUCCUGGUAUGCUGGCAGGUUUACUUUGAAAAAAUUAGAGUGCUCAAAGCAGGCUUUUACGCCUGAAUAUUCGUGCAUGGAAUAAUAGAAUAGGAAGUCGUUUCUAUUUUGUUGGUUUUCGGAAAUCGACUUAAUGAUUAAUAGGGACAGUCGGGGGCAUUUGUAUUCAAACGACAGAGGUGAAAUUCUUGGACCGUUUGAAGACAAACUACUGCGAAAGCAUUUGCCAAGAAUGUUUUCAUUAAUCAAGAACGAAAGUUAGAGGUUCGAAGGCGAUUAGAUACCGCCCUAGUUCUAACCAUAAACGAUGCCAGCUAGCGAUCUGCCGACGUUUUUUUUGUAGACUCGGCAGGAAGCUUCCGGGAAACCAAAGCAUUUGGGUUCCAGGGGAAGUAUGGUUGCAAAGCUGAAACUUAAAGGAAUUGACGGAAGGGCACCACCAGGAGUGGAGCCUGUGGCUUAAUUUGACUCAACACGGGAAAUCUCACCAGGCCCGGACACUGGAAGGAUUGACAGAUUGAUAGCUCUUUCUUGAUUCGGUGGGUGGUGGUGCAUGGCCGUUCUUAGUUGGUGGAGUGAUUUGUCUGGUUAAUUCCGAUAACGAACGAGACUCUGUCCUGCUAAAUAGUGUCGGCUUCUCUUUUGAGCCGAUAAUUCUUCUUAGAGGGACUGGCAACUCUCAGUUGCACGAGAUUGAGCAAUAACAGGUCUGUGAUGCCCUUAGAUGUUCUGGGCCGCACACGCGCUACACUGAAUAGAUCAGCGUGUUCUCCCUUUCUGAGAAGAACGGGUAAACCGCUGAACCCUAUUCGUGGUAGGGAUCGGGGCUUGCAAUUGUUCCCCGUGAACCAGGAAUUCCCAGUAGGCGCAAGUCAUAAGCUUGCGUCGAUUACGUCCCUGCCCUUUGU
Molecule: ribosomal RNA, 1620 nt
Filed under: Rhincalanus gigas
Lineage: Eukaryota; Metazoa; Arthropoda; Copepoda; Calanoida; Eucalanidae
Description: SSU rRNA
Rfam family: Eukaryotic small subunit ribosomal RNA
Source: RNAcentral